AAUGAACGCUGGCGGUAUGCUUAACACAUGCAAGUCGAACGAUCACUUCGGGUCUAGUGGCGCACGGGUGCGUAACGCGUGGGAACCUGUCUUUAGGUCGGGAAUAACACUUAGAAAUGACUGCUAAUACCGGAUAUUGCCUUCGGUCAAAAAUUUAUCGCCUUUUGAUUGGCCCGCGUCGGAUUAGCUAGUUGGUAGGGUAAAAGGCUACCUAGGCGACGAUCCGUAGCUGGUCUGAGAGGAUGAUCAGCCACACUGGAACUGAGACACGGCCCAGACUCCUACGGGAGGCAGCAGUGGGGAAUAUUGGACAAUGGGCGAAAGCCUGAUCCAGCAAUGCCGCGUGAGUGAUGAAGGCCUUAGGGUUGUAAAGCUCUUUUACCCGGGAUGAUAAUGACAGUACCGGGAGAAUAAGCUCCGGCUAACUCCGUG
RNAcentral lists this ribosomal RNA (432 nucleotides) under uncultured bacterium. RNAcentral describes it as "partial 16S ribosomal RNA". It matches the Rfam family "Bacterial small subunit ribosomal RNA", at positions 29 to 507 of the family's 1533-position model. The record is from RNAcentral.